Molecule: ribosomal RNA, 528 nt
Filed under: Klebsiella pneumoniae
Lineage: Bacteria; Pseudomonadati; Pseudomonadota; Gammaproteobacteria; Enterobacterales; Enterobacteriaceae
Description: bacterial SSU rRNA
Rfam family: Bacterial small subunit ribosomal RNA
Source: RNAcentral
ACUUAAAUUGAAGAGUUUGAUCAUGGCUCAGAUUGAACGCUGGCGGCAGGCCUAACACAUGCAAGUCGAGCGGUAGCACAGAGAGCUUGCUCUCGGGUGACGAGCGGCGGACGGGUGAGUAAUGUCUGGGAAACUGCCUGAUGGAGGGGGAUAACUACUGGAAACGGUAGCUAAUACCGCAUAACGUCGCAAGACCAAAGUGGGGGACCUUCGGGCCUCAUGCCAUCAGAUGUGCCCAGAUGGGAUUAGCUAGUAGGUGGGGUAACGGCUCACCUAGGCGACGAUCCCUAGCUGGUCUGAGAGGAUGACCAGCCACACUGGAACUGAGACACGGUCCAGACUCCUACGGGAGGCAGCAGUGGGGAAUAUUGCACAAUGGGCGCAAGCCUGAUGCAGCCAUGCCGCGUGUGUGAAGAAGGCCUUCGGGUUGUAAAGCACUUUCAGCGGGGAGGAAGGCGGUGAGGUUAAUAACCUCAUCGAUUGACGUUACCCGCAGAAGAAGCACCGGCUAACUCCGUGCCAGCAGCC